AAAGCGUGCGCAGGCGGUUUUGUAAGUCUGUCGUGAAAGCCCCGGGCUCAACCUGGGAAUUGCGAUGGAGACUGCAAGGCUUGAAUCUGGCAGAGGGGGGUAGAAUUCCACGUGUAGCAGUGAAAUGCGUAGAGAUGUGGAGGAACACCGAUGGCGAAGGCAGCCCCCUGGGUCAAGAUUGACGCUCAUGCACGAAAGCGUGGGGAGCAAACAGGAUUAGAUACCCCGGU
Molecule: ribosomal RNA, 230 nt
Filed under: uncultured bacterium
Lineage: Bacteria
Description: partial 16S ribosomal RNA
Rfam family: Bacterial small subunit ribosomal RNA
Source: RNAcentral